UCCUCCCUCUUCCUCUCCUCUUUCUUCCUCCUUUCUCCAAUAUGAAGACACACACCCCCAGACUACUCCAAUUGCAUUCCAGAACAUUCAGGCACUGAUGUCACAAAGCAGUGAGGUAUGAGGUAAGAGGCUGCGUUGUUGCGAUACUUCCCUCCACUACGUGCGUGGACUCUGGAGGAAUGCGUGUGUGAAAAAUGACUGGAACCACAGCACUGAGAUUGCGGCAGGCGGCAGUGGUCCAAGGCUUCCUGGACGCAGCCUCAAUCCUGCUGUGAUGGGCUCCAGGGUCUGCGUUGCCUACCCCUUACUGGCCUCUACAAGAACAAAGACUGGCCAUCGUGGCCCUCGUCCAGGCCUUCGCUCCCCAGCAGCCCUGCCCGCACUGCUCUCCUCACACACCACUGGGGGAAGACCUUCCGUCCACUCUCCAGAGUCCCCUUCUUUAGGAAACCUGGAAUGGCCACCCUGCAGGUGGGUCCAAUCACCCUCCACAGCUGUCCCACAGAUGGGCCCCAGCCAGCCACAGGUGGGAUUACUCAUCACAGGUUGAGCUGGCCACCCACACAGAUGGAUUCAACUACCCACAAAGGAAUGGUCACCCCAUAGGAGCACUGCUUAUGAGGAAAGCCUGUUCAGUGUCUGACAAGCUCUUCUCUCUGCCCAGUCAUGCCCUGUGACGAAAGUGUGUGGGUUAUUAGCCCCAUUUCACAGAAGAGAAAACUGAGGCUCUGAGCAGUUAGGCAACUCACUCAAGGUUAGAGAGUGGCUGAGUCCCUGAGCUACAGCAAGAACCUUGCAACCCCAGUAAAAGAGGGCCUAAAAUGUGAAGUUGAGGUCUAGGGGCCAAAGAACCCCCAGGCCCCCGGGCUGAGAGGGAGGCUCUGUUGGAAAACUGAUUCAUCUGAGCUCCUAGAAUCUGGAAUCUUCCAUCUGCCCUUGAUCCCAUGCAAGAAGAAACAAAACCAACAGCAGUUUUUUAAUGCUUUGGUUGUAUGGCUGAUUUUCUUACAAUACACCCACUCCAUCGUUGAGUUAAUUCUGUGUGUGUUCAUGUGCAUGUGUGCUUUCAGGUACACGGGCGUGUGUGUGUGUGUGUGUGUGUGUGUGUGUGUGUGUGUGUGUGUGCAUGUGUGGGUUAGUGCAGAACACAGCUAAGAUGCCAUUCCUUAGGUGCC
Non-coding RNA from Peromyscus maniculatus bairdii (prairie deer mouse), 1175 nucleotides. The record is from RefSeq and is a predicted model, not a curated record. Lineage: Eukaryota; Metazoa; Chordata; Mammalia; Rodentia; Cricetidae.